Molecule: transfer RNA, 79 nt
Filed under: Escherichia coli
Lineage: Bacteria; Pseudomonadati; Pseudomonadota; Gammaproteobacteria; Enterobacterales; Enterobacteriaceae
Description: tRNA-Ala
Rfam family: tRNA
About the family: Transfer RNA (tRNA) molecules are approximately 80 nucleotides in length.
Source: RNAcentral
GGGGCUAUAGCUCAGCUGGGAGAGCGCUUGCAUGGCAUGCAAGACCAGGUCAGCGGUUCGAUCCCGCUUAGCUCCACCA